GGGAAAGAGAGGGAUUCGAACCCUCGGUACGAUUAACCCGUACAAUGGAUUAGCAAUCCAACGCUUUAGUCCGCUCAGCCAUCUCUCC
RNAcentral lists this transfer RNA (88 nucleotides) under Arabis verna. RNAcentral describes it as "tRNA-Ser". Lineage: Eukaryota; Viridiplantae; Streptophyta; Magnoliopsida; Brassicales; Brassicaceae. The record is from RNAcentral.